This 21-nucleotide microRNA is filed under the name Mus musculus (house mouse). Its description in RNAcentral is "mmu-miR-669k-3p". Its record names the gene mmu-miR-669k-3p. The record is from miRBase by way of RNAcentral. Lineage: Eukaryota; Metazoa; Chordata; Mammalia; Rodentia; Muridae.
UAUGCAUAUACACGCAUGCAA